UCCAGGUAUCGAGCAGAAUCACGCUGUUAGGAAAAUAAUUGAGAAUAUGGACUAAAAUCCACAGGAUCACCUUCUGACCAAGAAACCUACAAACACAAGGACUGACACAAUCCCAGUUCACCUCCUGAAGUCAACCAUGCUGCCCUGAAUUGUAAAACUGGAAGCCAAUUAGUAUAUGGUGGCCUUGGGAAUAAUGGAGAAGAGCAAUAAAUGAGAGGACAACACAAAAAUAGAAAAUGAUCUAUGAAUUAGAAAGUCCAGGAGAAAAUGACUAAAAAGGCAUUGAUAUCCACGAUAAGAAGGGAGAAAAGAUAAGAUAAAGAGAGCACUCUGCUGCCCUUGAUGAGAUGAUCCAGACUAACUAUAUCCCAGGAAAGUGCAAGCACUUAAAAGAGGCGAGAUGAUACAGAAUGAAACGUCAGUUCUUCCCACUUUUGAAAAUCAUGAAUGUUUAGAGAUAUAAAUUUUCCUCUAACUACUGCUUUGGCUUCGCCCCCACAAGUUUUGGUAUGUUAUCUUAUUGUUGUCAUUUUCUUUAAUGAA
Phascolarctos cinereus (koala) is the source of this 543-nucleotide non-coding RNA. The record is from RefSeq and is a predicted model, not a curated record. Lineage: Eukaryota; Metazoa; Chordata; Mammalia; Diprotodontia; Phascolarctidae.